Ictalurus punctatus (channel catfish) is the source of this 10322-nucleotide long non-coding RNA. NCBI's taxonomy places the organism in Eukaryota, Metazoa, Chordata, Actinopteri, Siluriformes, Ictaluridae. The record is from Ensembl.
CACAUGACUUAUUACACGUUUAACAUGAAUGAUAGGUUUAUAUCAAUGUGCUCGUUAUUGCUCAUUCACAGGGAUCUGGAAUCUACGACUAAUAAUAAACACAGACAGUUAAAUUCACUGGAACAAGACAGGAUAAAAUCCUGAUGAAUAAUCCUGAUAAAAUUUGCUCCCAGACUUUUGAAUUCAAAUUUUCGGUGUUGGUCUGCCCUCAUGUUUAAUUUUCAGUCUCUUCUCGUAAGUGUGAGCACCAGAAGACUAAGCGAGCUGCUAGCAGAAGAAGGAAGUGACUGCUAGCUAGAUUAAUAAACAACAAAUUUCAGAAAUGAAAGACAAAAAGCCAGAACAGCUUGUAGUUACACUGGAAAAUGUAUGUAUUGUGAGGAAUUAGCCCGGGGAAGGGCGGCGCACAGACCCACAGGAGACCAAAGGAUGGUGGCAGACGGUGCUUUAUUGUGGCUAGGGUGAGGUGAACGUGUUAUAAAUGGAAGAGUGCGGGGGUUUGUGAAGGCGCGACGGCCGGCGGAGUCGACUCGUGGCGGAGGCGGGAUUCCCGAGGCGGGGCGGGGGUUUUCCCGGGCCGGCGUCCUCCGUGUGUGCGACUCUCACUAUCCGGCGGUCUCGUCCGCGCUUACGCCUCCUGGAGAGAGAGAGAGAGAGAGAGAGAGAGAGAGAGAGAGAGAGAAAUUAGCGUGGGGCGUGAGGUUACCGUCGUGAUCGGAGGUUGCGAAUCGCUGCAAACACGCACGGAGUCCGUUUUGACGCCACGAUAUUCUCUUCCCCUUCCCGGCCGGAAGCGCGCCCUUUUAUCCUCCUCCGUCGGCGCCUGAGUGGUGGGACUUCCCCGUUGGAUCCGCCAAUCGCUGGCCGGAGUCGCGUCAGUCCCGCCCUGCCGCGGCGGUCCUUCCGGCUGGCGGAAUGUUCGGCAGGAAGCUGCCCACGUCGUGCCGGUGCGGCAGUCGGAGAAGGAGCGUUUUCCCUCUUGUGUGCGCCGGAUCUCUGCCCGUCGCGACAGUGGUGUUGCCGUACCUAGUUGUCCAAGAUGCGUGCGCUACUCAGAUCAGGCAGCGACUCACAUCCAUGGGCCUUGCUGGGCCUCAUAUACGAUACAUCAGAUGUGCUGCUCCUGCAAGGACCGUGUUGCAGCAAGGCAAGAGUGAAAACUCAUCGUACUAGUUGAACACACCUAAGCUGGUAAAUGCAGGCGACUUUAUGCAAAUGUGGAGUGACUUGGUGCAGAGACUACCAAUGGGAGUGAAGACAGGAGAGUGCACGUGAUAAGUAGAAGCUACCAGAAGGAGCGAGGACCUGAGGCUGAGACGCCCGGCUCUGGGAACAAGCAGCACCAAGCCAGCCACUUCACCCAGGAAGCACGGAGACCAUGGCCGAGGAGGCCAUAAGCUAAGCUAAGCUAAGCUAAUUGCACUUUUCCCACAGACAGAUGGCCUCAGUGGCAAAGAGCACACACUGCUUCUCCUCGAUCUCAUAGGAUGUGAUGCAUAUAUACACUGGUGAGUUUUAUAUAAGAUCCUCUUCCUCCAGAAGGUUCCAUUUUAGCAGCAAGAAAACUGAUUAAUUGUCAAAAGUGGAAUGUUAGUCGCACCACCCACUGACAAAUGUUACUAUGACAACUGGUAGCAGGAACACCUACUGGCGACUUCAUAGUACAGCGACUAUGAACGUAGCAUCAGAUAGAUAAGAAAGUUUGAGCAGCGUGUCUCAGCUAGGUUAGAGUUCAGAUGCUGGGAAGGUGGGAUUUACAAGGGAUUCAAGCCUCGAUAUUUUGUGAUAGAAAUAUGUGGACUUGGUGUAUGACUGCAGGUUGCCUUUUGCCUCAUAAAUGAAAUAGUGUAUAGUGAGUGUUGACAUUAUGAAAUUGACUAUUGUAACAAAAAAACAUAUAUUUUAAUACUCAUAUGAAAUAUACAGUAGGAAAAGAAUAAUGUGCACAACAGUUCAGAUAUUCCAAACUGUUGUUUAAUUGAUUUAGCCAUAAUUAUUCAACAGUCAACUCAACAAUUCCGGUAGUAGUAGUAGUAACCCUAACCCAGACAUCACAAUCAUCAUAUUCAUGUGUUCAUAGAUAUAGAACAAAGUGAAAGUAAAAAGUACAGAUGUUUAUUAUAAAACAACAACAAUCACAAAUCAACGCCGAUCAUCUCUGGACAACAGCAACUCAGUCAAUCAGUAGUCCCACCCCACCCCCAACUCCUACAGCCCACACUUCUAUUCAGAAACUGCCUUUACCUUCACACUCUUUGAAGGAAGAUCCACAUGUUGACAUGUUGUGUAUUUGUGUGUGUGUGUGUGUGUGUGUGUGUGUGUGUGUGUGUGUGUGUGUGUGUGUGUGUGUGUGUUUUAAUGCCUGUUCUGGAUUCCUGGAUGUGUAGCCAGAUAGUAAAAUCCAUCUUUUGGGAUCUGCUGUGGAGCUGCUAAGGGCAGAGAAAUACAGAGAAACAUCUGAUUACUAACUGAUAUACUGAAGUUAUUUUAUCAUUCUUAGAGAAGGCAAUCCUGUAAUUCUGCUCCUUUACUUCAAAUGCUGCAUAAAUGAGCAUUAGGCUCUGUUCUGGUAACAAAAGAAAUCUAAAGUAUUAUUUCACAUACAUGCUGCACAUUUUGGACUCUUAUAGACUGUUUUUAGUUUCAGCUGUUUGCCUAAAGUGUGCAGCCUGUCAAUUCUGAAAAAAACAACAACAUUAGUUUAUGAAGCUCACGUUCUCAUUCUGAGUCAUUUAUAUUUCUAAGCCACAUAAAUAAAUAAACUUUACAUUAAUAGUAAACUCACCUGGUUGAGGAGCUGAGGGAGUCUCGUAAAUUGACUCAUAAACAUGUAUCUCAUCCAAAGAUUCUGCUGAGACACAGAGAGUAGGGGUCACCACUAGGGGUCACUAUUCUUAUACACAACUAAUCCCCAUUCUUUUCAUUUCAGUGCAAAGUUUACAGUCAGUAAUGCAGUAAUUAUGUGAUUUGCUUUUAUAGUAUAAUAAUAAUAAUAAUAAGAAGAAGAAGAAGAAGAAGAAUGUUGUGGUCUGAUGAAAAGUUAAUGUUAACACCCCAGAGAUGAUUAUUUUCCAGAUCCCUGAGUGUUUUUUUUCCUCUUAUACCGCAGCAAUUUGCCAACAAUUACACUACAGUUCCUUUGAGACAUGUGAAGUCAGCCAACCACAACUUUUCUUUUUUUUUGACUUUUACUUACAUUUACAUUUAUUCACUAAGCAGACGCUUUUAUCCUAAGCGACUUACAAAUGAGAAAGAUACAAGCAAAGCGAUAUCAAGCAGAGAACAAUACAAGAAGUGCUACCAUACAAGAUCUAUUAAUUGAAUUCCAGAAGAAGCAAAGUGCAGAGUAGAGGUGUAAGUGCAUUUUUUUUAUUAUUAUUAUUAUAAUGAAUUUGUUAGGUGUUCAUAGAAGAGGUGGGUCUUUAGUUGUUUUUUGAAGAUGGUGAGAGAUUCUGCGGUCUGGAUUGAAUUUUUUAUUCAUUUAUCGAGUAAUCGAAGCAGAGCUGGGUGAAGUAUUCCAUAGCUAGCGCCCUCAAUACCACAAACUUGACGCUGAACCUCAUUAAAUGCGGCCCGGGCCCGGGCUGUCUUGGCUGUGUAGACAGGGGAAACGGAGAUGGUCACAUCCCUCACUUUAAUCCGCUGGAGCUCUCUCUCACGGCGUAAAAUAUCAACACAGCCACUGUGAUAGUGGAAUCUGCACACAAUAACUCGUGGUCGUUCACCAGGCUUGGGCUUCGGCUGAAGGGUCCGGUGGGACCGGUCCAGAACCGGCUCCUUCUCCAGACCACACGCUUCUUUUAACAAGGCCGCUACAGCAGCGGUUGUACAGGUGUCAGCGCCCUCUGGAACUCCCACUAUCCUAACGUUAUUGCGCCGUGACCUCGACUCCAAAUCCUCACACUUAUUCUCUAACUGAGUCACGGUCACAGUGAGAGACUCGACAGUAGUCUUCAUAUGAAUCAUGUCAUCGGUGCAACCGGAGAGCGUGUGCUCCAUUUCCCCAACAGUACCUUUCAGUGUUGAUAUGGUAGCCUCGGUAGCGACUUUAUCACUGGCCAGCUGUGUUUUCACGGCCUGCAGGUCAAGCUGGAUAGUAGACAGCGUACCCCCGAGAGUCUUCUGGAGCUUCUGGAGCUCCUUUUUAAAAAUAUCGGCGAUGUCCUUCCUCAGUAAAGCCAGCAGCUCAAGCCUGAGUGCGGCGAAGUCAGGGUCACCGCUCGGCGACGCGGAUUCAGAGAGAGAAGGGGACUCGCUCACGGCGUGCACACUUGGCCUCAGUCGUGUCUGAAUACUACCACAGGUUUUCGUGUUCUUUCCAGACAUUUUAACAUACCACAAAGUUAAAAUUACAAACAAGGAAACAGAGUAGAAUAAUUCAAAAUAUAUUGUAUGACCGAAAAGCGCUAAUUAAUUACAAUUACACGAAAUCAGCAGGAGCCUCCAACUUCGCGUCCUACUCCAUCGAAUUCCGAAUUCCCAUUCAACCACAACUUUUCAACCUGCGUCACAGAGCAACAUAACACAUUCAUAAUAAAUCUACCUUCUUCCACAUACAGAAGUCUAACAGACAGAUGAUUGUCUAAAUCAGGUGUGUCUAAUCUUAUUGGGAAAGGGCCGGUGUGGGUGCAGGUUUUCAUUCCAACCAAGCAGGAGCCACACCUGAGUCUACUGAAAGCCAAGAUCAACUGAUUAAACAGGUGAAGGUAAAUUGUAAGUCGCUUUGGAUAAAAGCAUCUGCUAAAUGAAUAAAUGUAAUGUAAAUGCAGAUGUAAAUCAGGUGUGGCUCCUGCUUGGUUGGAAUGAAAACCUGCACCACACUGGCCAAUUGCAGAUAAGAUUGGACACCCCUAGUCUAGUGUUACUGACUUACAGGGGAGAGACAGUAUGCCCCUCCUAUUUUGCUCUCUUGGCCAUAGAUAUCUGUGGCAUCAUUGGGACUUGAUCUCCAGACGAUAGGGUGAAGGCUUUUCUGCUGUGCCACUCAGGAACCUGACUGAUAAAGCUUUAAAAUGCUCCUUCUAAUAGGAACCCUUCAAAAACGAGGUUUCAUCUCCAGAUAAAACUUUGUGACAUUGUGUGUGAAGAUAAUGUUUUAAGUGAUUACCUUUUUCAGCUGAAUCGUGCUGUACUUUGGCGGUGCUACCUGAAUGAAGAGGUAAUAAUAAGAGUUAAACGGGUUGCGGAUUCUGUCAGGCUUUAAUGCAGAGGAACAACACUACAUAUGAAAAAAAUUAACAUGUUUUACAUUAAGUGUCACAUAUUCCUCGUAAUGAAGGUUAGGAUGGAUGCAAAUGCAGGUAAGAGUUUAUUAGAGAGAGGCAGGUAGAUAAAUCCAAAUCAUAAGACAAUAGCGUGGUCGAAAUAACAGGUAAUGGGUCAGGCGAUCUACAAACAGGCAUAAACUGGGCAAGGCUAGAAUCAAGAACAAUAAACGAGAAACAAGGUCAAUGAACAUGAUGCAAAAUGAGAAACAAGGAACAACCGCUUGGUAUGGUGAUAACACUCAAUACUUCACAAAGUCAUGGUGUUAAAAAAGUUUCUUUUAUAGCGUGAAGUGAGUGAGUGUGAGAUGGGCAACAGGUGUGUGUGAUUAGAAUUCCGGAGGUGGUGAAUGUGGGGGGGGGAGUGUAGUCCAUGACGGGCAUGUGAAGGUGAACAUGUGUGUGUGUGUGUGUGUGUGUGUGUGGGAAGUGUAGUCCAUGGCGGCCAUGUUUGUAGGCCGCAGUGCAGGAUGGGAAAUGUAAUCACUGGUUUGCUGUUAUAUGACAGAACCCCCCCCCCACCUCCCCAACCUCAGGGCGCUUCUCCCGAAGCGGAAAAUAACACUCCCUCCCCCAGUGGUCCUGGCCCUCUGGGCAAAAUGUCUUCACAUCACCUCAGGUUACAAUGCAGGCAUUGUCUGACAAGUAGCAGGUUCCUCCAGGAACUGAGGAGCAGACAUGAGGUCAUCAGUCUCGAGCAUGGGGUCAUCAGUCUCGAGCAUGAGCAUAACUGGGGUCAUCAGUCUCGAGCAUGAGCAUAACUUGGUUGGUUGUGAUGUCCGCUUCAGGCAUGAGCAGAACUUGGCCAUGUCAGCAGACUCGGGCAUGAGCAGAACUUGGUUGGCCGUGACAUUGGUUUUAGGCAUGAGCAGAACCAGGUUGGUCAUGACGUCGGGACAGGAACUUGGCAUGAGCAGAGCUUGGGUUGGCCGUCUCUUCGACCUGGGGCAGGAAUUUGUCAUAAGCAGAGCUUGGGUUGGCCGUCUCCUUGACCUGGGACAAGAACUUGGCGUGAGCAGAGCUUGGGUUGGCCGUCUCUUCGACGUGGGACAGGAACUUGGCGUGAGCAGAGCUUGGGUUGGCCGUCUCUUCGACGUGGGACAGGAACUUGGCGUGAGCAGAGCUUGGGUUGGCCGUCUCUUCGACAUGACAUGGGACAGGAACUUGGCGUGAGCAGAGCUUGGGUUGGCCGUCUCUUCGACCUCAGACAGGAACAUGGCUUGAGAGGUCGUCCCUUCAAACUCGCACAGGCACUUGGCUUGAGAGGUCGACUCUUUGACCUCGGACAGAAACCUGGCUUGAGUACUCGCCUCUUCGACCUCGUACAUGAACAUGGAUUGGGAGGUCGUCUCUUUGACCUCGGACAGGAACUUGACUUUAUGCUGGAGCUCUGGGGAGGAGGUCGCCACAUUGACCUCCGACUGGGACUCUGGAGAUGAGGUCACCACGUUGAACUCUGGCUGGAGCUCGGCAGGUGAGACCACAUAGUGGGUCUUAGGCAGGAGCUUUGGGAAGGAGGUCACCCAGUUUGCCUGCUCACAAUAGGUGGUGAACGGCAAGUCAGGUUUAUCUCUGAGGCAGGCCUCCUGGAAAAGUUCCUCCAGGAUGACCCAGGAUUUUGAACUGCAAGAAAAUAUUCAGGGUAACCUGAUAACCCAUCAUACAGCUCUGGGAGGUCUACGACAGUCCACUGAGGAAACUGGAUCGAAUCCACAGUUGGGACGGUUUGCCUGGUUUCCCUAGCGUGAUGUCUCCCCCUCUUUCCUGCUGCUUCCAUGUUAUAGGCGAAGUAUUCUGUCACAUAUUCCUCGUAAUGAAGGUUAGGACGGAUGCAAAUGCAGGUAAGAGUUUAUUAGAGAGAGGCAGGUAGAUAAAUCCAAAUCAUGAGACAAUAGCGUGAACGAAAUAAGAGCCAAUGGGUCAGGCGAUCUACAAACCUAUAAACUGGGCAAGGCUAGAAUCAAGAAUCAAGAACGAUAAACGAGAAACAAGGUCAAUGAACAUGAUGCAAAAUGAGAAACAAGGAACAACCGCUUGGUAUGGUGAUAACACUCAAUACUUCACAAAGUCAUGGUGUUCAAAAAGUCUCUUUUAUAGCGUGAAGUGAGUGAGUGUGAGAUUGGCAACAGGUGUGUGUGAUUAGAAUUCCAGAGAAGAUGAACGUGGGGAGGGGGAGUGUAGUCCAUGGCGGCCACGUUUUUAGGCCACAGUGCAGGAUGGGAAAUGUAAUCACUGGUUUGCUGUGAUAUGACAUUAAGAUUCAUUUAACUGACAGUGUUUACUGCAUGAAUAAAUGAUAAACUUCAGCAUUUAUAAAGUAUAAAGUUAAUAAGACAAAAGAUGUCCUGAGGAUGUCUGAAAACUUAAAAUUACAGCUUUACCUCUGACUGUUGCAAAGCACUGACACUGGAGACUCCUUCCAUUCAUGUUACAUGAACAUCUCCUUGUCACCAUAUCAACAAUUACAUACAUUUUUUAAUUUGUUUGUGUGAAGCUGUGCACAAAGUGCAUUAAUAUAAACCUACUCUACUGUCAGAGCUGUUGUUCUAGAAAAUUGCACAAUCACUAAUGUCAAAUAAACAGUGAGCAGUAUAUCUAACAAAACAAAUGAUCCAAGAGAUAAGGACAGGCCAAGCAGGUUAGUGGGUUAGCAUUCUAGCUCAGUAGUGAAGAUAAUAAAACUUUACUGUAUAUAAUUUAAAUGAAAUGUUACCUUUCCUUUUGGAGAAACACCUCCACAGAACCAGAAGUGACACUAAAACAAGCGCACAACCCCCGGCUACUAAAGCUGUUACCGUCAACCAAUCUGAAAACCAAAUCACAUGAUCACCUCAGAUGUGUUUACCAAAAGAUAAACAACUAUUUAAAAAUAAAAAUAAAACAUCUCUGUAGUUACCUGUUCAUAUACUCUCAGAUAGUGGUGCUUGAAAGUUUGGAAAUUAGAGUCAGGUGUUUUCAAUCAAUGAAAUGAUUGGUAUAAUUAGGUGUGAGUGAGCAUCCUGUUUUAUUUAAAGAACAGCGAUUAAUCAGAGUCUGAUCUUCACAACAUGUGUUUGUAGAAGUGCAUCAUGGCAUGAACAAAGGAGAUUUCUGAGGACCUCAGAUAAAGAGAUGUUGAUGCUCAUCAGGCUGGAAAAGUUUACAAAACAAUCUAUUAAGAGUAUGGACUCCACCAACCCACAGUCAUAUUGGGUAUAAAUGGAGGAAAUUCAACACCAUUGUUCACCUCCCCAGGAGUGGAGACCAACAAAGAUCACUCCAAGAACAAGACGUGUAAUAGUCCACGAGGUCACAAAGGAACCCAGGGUAACUUCCAAGCAACUAAAGUCCUCUCUCACACUGGCUAAUGUUAAUGUUCAUGAGUCCACCAUCAGGAGAACACUGAAGAACAAUGGUGUGCAUGGCAGGACUACAAGGUGGAAGUCACCGCUCUCCAAAAAGAACAUUGCUCUCCUCCUGCAGUUUGAUAAAGAUCAUGUGGACGAGCCAGAAGUGUAAUGGAAAAAUGUUUUGUGGAUGGAGGAGACCAAAAUAUAAUUUUUUGGUUUAAAUGAGAAGUGUUAUGUUUGGAUAAAGGAAAACGCUGCAUUCCAGCAUAAGAACCUUCUCCCAUCGGUGAAACAUGGUGGUGGUAGUGUCAGGGUUUGGACCUCUUUUGCCUAAUCAGGUCCACGACGACUCGGCAUCACUGAUGGAACAAUGAGUUCUGAAUUAUAUCAGUGAAAUUUAAAGGAAAAUGUCAGGACAUCUGUCUGUGAACUGAAUCUGAAGAGAAAGUGGGUCAUGCAGCAAGACAAUGAGCCUAAGAACACGAGUCGUUCUACCAGAGAACGCUUAAAGAAGAAUAAAGUUAAUGUUUUGGAACGGCCGAGUCAAAGCCCUGACCUCAAUCCAGUAGAGAUGUUGUGGAAGAACCUGAAGCGAGCAGUUCAUGUGAGGAAACCCACCAACACCCCAGAGCUGAAGCUGUUCUGUACUGAGGAACGGGAUAAAACUCCUCCGAGACGACGUGCAGAUGAUCAACACUUACCCCAAACGUUUAUCUGCAGUUAUCACUGCACAAGGGGUCACACCACAUACUGAAAGCAAAGGAGCACAUACUUUCACCCCUCACAGAUCUGUAAUACUGGAUCAAUUUCCUCAGUAAAUAAAUGACCAAGUAUAAUAUUUUUGUCUCAUUUGUUUAACUGGGUUCUCUUUAUCUACCUUUAGGAAUCUGCUGAUGUUUUAGGUUAAUGCGGAAAUGUAUAAAAUUCGAAACACAAACUUUCAAGCACCACCGUAAAUAAUAAUAUGUUAACAAUAAAAUAUAUAAUUGAUUAAUUAUUCAUUUUCAGAAUUGUUAAUUAUUUGUAAUUAUGUUAAUAAUAAUAGAAGAAUACUAAAUAAUAUGAUCAUAGUACUAAUUUAUACUUAUAACAGGAAGCAGUAGAAGAAAUUAAAAAUAAUGAAAAAUAAAUUAUAUAUAAAAUAAAACUCUAAAAUAAUAAUAAUUGUGUGGUGGAGUUUUAAUGAAAGCAAUGGUCAGACCACUUACCCCCCGUUUUCAUGAUUUUCAGAGUCUUUGAUGUCACACUGACCUCCACUGCGUUCUCAUUACAGUAAUAUCGACCAGAGUCUGAGAACGAGACAUUAAAUAUACUCAGAAUCAGACGUCUUCCUGAGCUGUAACGUCUGUCUGGAUCAGUGAUGUGUUUGAUAACCGUGUCCUUGUAGACGCUGAGAAUCUUCUCCCUUUUUCCACCCACAUCUCUGCUCCAGGUCACGUUACCGUUAGUCUCUCCACAUUUAAGCAUACAGAUGCUUUUCUCUGGACAAGAUCGUUUUUCUGUCAGUCAGAGUGCAGGAGAAAAUACAGUGUCAGUAAACAGUCGAAGUCAAGCUGCCUCAGUAAAACUUCCUCGUUCUGUAAAACUAGUUUGCUCUUAGCUAUGUUUAUUCACUAACCUAACCAGUGUAGAUGGUGAUAGACGUCUGUUUUGAGGGACUGUCACACCUUCCUUUAUGUGCUGCCUUCAUGUGAAUAAUUCCAACCAAAAAAGUAGAACUGGUUAUGAC